This 371-nucleotide long non-coding RNA is filed under the name Salvia miltiorrhiza (redroot sage). Its description in RNAcentral is "long non-coding RNA (SMIL_LNC002555)". Lineage: Eukaryota; Viridiplantae; Streptophyta; Magnoliopsida; Lamiales; Lamiaceae. The record is from RNAcentral.
UACUAUAUCUUUUGCCUAUCAACUCAAUAUUCCAACAAUCUACGCUUUUCUCCCAGCUUACCACACAAUUGAAGCUAGAAGGCCAAAUACAAUGGUGUCUAGAAUUCAUGUUUACAUGAGUUGAGAAAAAAAGUAUAAACUAAAACAUUAAAGGCAAUGUUUCACCUAGAAUUGUCCACACUAUUUUAAGCGUCAAACAGUGUUUUGUGUUACUUCCUCCAAAAAAAAAAAAAUACUCCCUUCGUCCCAUUAUUGAUGGCACGUAUUUCUCUUUGGACCGUCCCACGUUACAUGGCAUGUUUCCCUUUUGGGCUAAAAUUAAGACAUAAUUAAAAGCUUAAUUACCCAUCCUAACCCAAGCUCGCUGCACU